UGAACGCUGGCGGCGUGCUUAACACAUGCAAGUCGAACGAAGACAUCUGAGUGCUUGCACUUGGAUGGACUGAGUGGCGGACGGGUGAGUAACGCGUGGGUAACCUGCCUUAUACAGGGGGAUAACAGUUGGAAACGACUGCUAAUACCGCAUAAGCGCACGGUAUCGCAUGAUACAGUGUGAAAAUGCUUCCGCUUGAAGAUGAGCUUGCGUCUGAUUAGCUAGUUGGUGAGGGUAAAGGCCCACCAAGGCGACGAUCAGUAGCCGGUCUGAGAGGAUGAACGGCCACAUUGGGACUGAGACACGGCCCAGACUCCUACGGGAGGCAGCAGUGGGGAAUCUUCCGCAAUGGGCGAAAGCCUGACGGAGCAACGCCGCGUGAACGAUGAAGGUCUUAGGAUCGUAAAGUUCUGUUGUUAGGGACGAAGGGCAAGGGUUAUAAUACAGCCUUUGUUUGACGGUACCUAACGAGGAAGCCACGGCUAACUACGUG
Molecule: ribosomal RNA, 493 nt
Filed under: uncultured bacterium
Lineage: Bacteria
Description: bacterial SSU rRNA
Rfam family: Bacterial small subunit ribosomal RNA
Source: RNAcentral